AACUUCAGCAUCCUCUACUGGCUGGGCAAUGGCUCCUUCAUUGAGCACCUCCCAGGCCGGCUGAGGGAGGGCCACACAAGGUGGCCCAGUAUCAUGUCAUUCUGGCCCAGCUCUGGGUAAGGAACCUGAAAGAAGGCAUCCAGGGAUGGGAGGAACUCCACUACCUGGGGAAGAAAGGAUUGGCUUUUCCAAUGCAACCUGAUGGAUUGAAGACAGCCCCAUCCCCUUCUCAAGAAACCCUCUCCAGCCACAGCCCAGGACCCAGAUCAGCAGGCCCAGGGGCCCCAUGAAGCCAACCACAGCAUGACCUUGACCGGAGCCUGGCUCUCAUCUACCUGGAGGGUGAAGUCUACACCACAGGCUGUGAUUGCCUCUUUCCAGCGGCUGAACCUCAAACUCAAGCUUCAUUUCUACCUAGAUUACAAUAGUUAUUAAGUC
This 438-nucleotide long non-coding RNA is filed under the name Rattus norvegicus (Norway rat). RNAcentral's name for it is "long non-coding RNA NONRATT003001". Lineage: Eukaryota; Metazoa; Chordata; Mammalia; Rodentia; Muridae. The record is from RNAcentral.